This 257-nucleotide ribosomal RNA is filed under the name uncultured Glomus. Its description in RNAcentral is "partial 18S ribosomal RNA". It matches the Rfam family "Eukaryotic small subunit ribosomal RNA", at positions 624 to 886 of the family's 1831-position model. The record is from RNAcentral. Lineage: Eukaryota; Fungi; Glomeromycota; Glomeromycetes; Glomerales; Glomeraceae.
AAGCUCGUAGUUGAAUUUCGGGAUUAGUACGUCGGUCGUGCCUUAGGUACGUACUGGUGUUACUGGUUCCUACCUUCUGACGAGCCAUCAUGUCAUUAAUUUGGUGUGGUGGGGAAUCAGGACUGUUACUUUGAAAAAAUUAGAGUGUUUAAAGCAGGCUCGCGCUUGAAUACAUUAGCAUGGAAUAAUGAAAUAGGACGUUGAUCCUAUUUUGUUGGUUUCUAGGAUUGACGUAAUGAUUAAUAGGGAUAGUUGGG